UACAGAGGAGCCAAGCGUUGUCCGGAUUGACUGGGCGUAAAGCGCACGCAGGCGGUCGCGCGCGUGGGGUGUGAAAUCUCGGAGCUUAACUCCGAAACUGCAUUCGAUACUGCCGUGCUUGAGGACUGGAGAGGAGACUGGAAUUUACGGUGUAGCGGUGAAAUGCGUAGAUAUCGUAAGGAAGACCAGUGGCGAAGGCGGGUCUCUGGACAGUUCCUGACGCUGAGGCACGAAGGUCAGGGGAGCAAACGGG
This 253-nucleotide ribosomal RNA is filed under the name uncultured bacterium. RNAcentral's name for it is "partial 16S ribosomal RNA". It matches the Rfam family "Bacterial small subunit ribosomal RNA", at positions 524 to 776 of the family's 1533-position model. The record is from RNAcentral.